AUAAGUACCAACGUCAAUUUUUCGUUGACUUCGGUCAACAUUUGGCUUCAAAACAUGCUGUCCGAGUCCUUAGCCGGCUCGAGACAGUUACAGGAUCUAAACUGGAGAGUUUGAUCCUGGCUCAGAAUGAACGCUGGCGGCGUGCUUAACACAUGCAAGUCGUGCGCGAAAGCGGCUUCGGCCGCGUGUAGAGCGGCGAACGGGUGAGUAACACGUGGACAACCUGCCCAAGAGUGGGGGAUAACCUGGGGAAACUCGGGCUAAUACCGCAUACGUUCGUGGGGCUUCGGCCCUGCGCAGAAAGGUGGCCUAUGCUUGCAAGCCACCGCUCCUGGAGGGGUCCGCGUCUGAUUAGCUAGUUGGCGGGGUAAUGGCCCACCAAGGCGACGAUCAGUAGCCGGCCUGAGAGGGUGAUCGGCCACACUGGAACUGAGACACGGUCCAGACUCCUACGGGAGGCAGCAGUGGGG
Molecule: ribosomal RNA, 470 nt
Filed under: uncultured bacterium
Lineage: Bacteria
Description: bacterial SSU rRNA
Rfam family: Bacterial small subunit ribosomal RNA (bases 99-470)
Source: RNAcentral